Molecule: long non-coding RNA, 1081 nt
Organism: Homo sapiens (human)
Lineage: Eukaryota; Metazoa; Chordata; Mammalia; Primates; Hominidae
Source: Ensembl
AAGACUGAGAACCUCUGAAAAGAGAAAGACAGUAUUUUCAAUAAGAGGAAUCAUGGUUGGACAGUGACUCAACUGAAUUCUCUCUUUAGCUGUCUUCUCUUGCACCCUAUAUACUUGCAGCUCCAUGAAUUGAGGGGUUUGGUCUCGUUUCUGACAGUAUCUGAGAGUCCAGUCCAAUGCCUAGCUGAGUUAUGUCUCGACUGCCAUGAAUGAGACAGUGUGAAGAACAGAAACCAAUGCAAUGAACAGCCCUGGAAGCCGCCAGCGAUGGCUUGUCUGACAACAGAAAGAGGCAGGUUUCUCUCCUGAGCCUUGCACAGACGAUGCUGGCCCAAAUCCUUCCUGAUAAACAUCAAAUGGAGACAACCAGCUACAAGCAAUUCCUCCAACAACAGAAUAAAUAUUGGCACACCAAGAAAUAAUCUACUGAUGGGAAUAGAGGCCCUGAAAAUCAUCCCACAGUGAGUCAAUCCCAAGUUCAGCAGCAAAUCCUCAUUUUGACAGAAUCAGGAAGAUGUUGAAGAGGAACUCAAUCAGCUACUGAUGACUCCACUGAUUAUGGGCUUUCUCAAGCUGCCUUUAUGAAGAACAGGAAGACAAGAUGGUCGGCUCUUAUCCCUGAAGAGGAACUUGAUCCUGAUGGAAACAUCCUAAUGGAAAAUGUGGGUUGGGAUGGGAGCCCGUGAUGAAGUGGCAGCUUGGCCUCACCACAAGUCAUUCCAGUGACAUGCGUCACAGUGCCUUCCAGCUCCAAAUUUUCAGAAAUAGUUUUGCAUAUGGAAAAAUAUGAGGUGACAUAAAAUGGUAACAAAGGUUCUACAUUUCUAUUGACUCUUCAACCACAUGUCAAUUAGGGCCAAUAUUUAGAACAUACUGGAUCUUCUGAAAGCGUGAGAAAGGAAGGUGCAUUUCCUUGCUCUCCUUGCAAAAUAUACAUAGCUACGCAUUUGAUUUUUAUUGGGAAUGUAAUCAACAGAAUAUUUUAAUAAAAAAUGUGAAAGCAGGCAGAAAAUUUUCAUAUACAACAUAUAUAUAUAAUAUAUAUAUGUAGAAAAUGUACUUUAUUAUCAGCCAUUUCAAU